CAUUCACAUUUUUAAAUUAAUAAUAGAAAAGGAAUUGAUCAGGGGACAAGAAUUGUUGAAAUCCAUAGAAACAAAUCACAAGUUGUUUUCAUAUUAAAUUUGGUUUAUUUGUCCCAUUAUGGAAUAUGUACAUAUAUGGACAUAUCUAAGCUAAUAAGUAAAUUUCAUCUUUAACGCCCAUCAAAAACUAAUCAACACCCAAUAACCGUAUGAGUACGUACACCUAUUAUGUCCCUUGAACCUUUUGUGUUUCUGUAAUUCUAAUUCAAAGCCAAACUCUGCAUCAAAAAUGCACAAAUACUUCGCUAACCGAGAAAUGCAGGGACAGCCUCCAAUGAAUGCCCCGUAACACCGAUUCUAAUUAGAAGUUGGCUUUUUGGCCAUAAGGCCAAUUCGAUUACCGCAUGAAUGUUUCCUUUUUUCCUGCUUUUGCUCUUGGUUUAAAUUGAAGAAAGAGCAGAUUUCUGAUAGGUUCUCAAUUGAAGUGGAAAAUUAAAGGAUACUGCAUAAUUAUUGUGGAUUUUCGAGCUUAAGGAAACCCAGAUUGGCAAAACAAUGCUUGUGAAAACAUUUAUCCACUGCACUCAAAUUUAAAGUAAGUCCCACAAAAAUAUGUUAAGCGACCUCGUUUUUCUGCUCCGCAUAAUUUAAUUAAAUCAAAGCCCAUGGGGGGAUAUGAAAAAAGGAAAAUAGGGAAAACUAUUUCCCCUAAAGAGAGAACAACACAACACACCGACUGACUUUUAAAAUCCGCUCAAAUUUAAUUAAAAAAAAUAUAACCCAGUCAGAGAAGUACAAAUAGACGCGCUCAAUCAAUUGGGCUACAGCCACAGACAAAUAAGCCCCGCAGUGGAACACCAUAUACAUAUAUAUGUUUUUUA
This is a long non-coding RNA of Drosophila pseudoobscura, 881 nucleotides long. RefSeq lists it as uncharacterized. The transcript has 4 exons. Lineage: Eukaryota; Metazoa; Arthropoda; Insecta; Diptera; Drosophilidae. The record is from RefSeq and is a predicted model, not a curated record.